AUGGUGCUACCAAGGUUGAACGACGACACUGGAAAAAGUUGUUGUCUGCAACCUAUAUUUUCUUCAACUGACCAGGAGUUUGUCACCGUCGGCGUCGGUGAGCGUCAAAGGCAAGUCAGCGACCGUCGCCGACGAGGCAAGGAAGCUGGCUCACUGGUGUCUGCACGCGAGGGGCAUCCACCAUGGUUUUCUCAAGAGAAGGAAGCGAAGCGAUGGGCCGGAGGGGGGGGGGGGGAUAAUGGGAACGACUGGCUACAAAUCACCCAAUUGAAUGCCCUCAAGGCCACCACCAAGCUCUCCCACCUCAAGUCCCCCGCUAACCCCGACGCCGUCCGCUCCUUCCUCGCCGGCCUCGGCCUCUCCAGCGCCGACGUCGCCGCCCUCGUCGCAAAGGACCCGCAGUUCCUCUGUGCCAGCGUGGAGAAGACCCUGGCCCGUAAAGUCGACGAGCUAACCGGCCUCGGUCUCUCGCGUUCCGAGGUCGCGCGGCUGCUCUCGCUCUCAUCCGCCGCCGGCCAUUUCCGCUCUAGAGCCAUUGUCUCCAAGCUGCACUACUACCUGCCCCUCUUAGGCUCCUCCGAGAACCUCCUCCGGGUUAUGAACCGCAAUAUCUACCUCCUAGGCUCCGACAUCGAGAGGAGGAUCAAGCCCAACGUCGCGCUCCUGCAGGAGUGCGGGCUAGGUGCUUGUGUUAUUGCCAAGCUGUGCCGCUCCAAACCGAGGAUGCUCAACACCAGACUGGAAAGCAUCCAGGCGAUGGUGGAGUGUGCAGAAGGCCUUGGUGUGCCCCGUGGCUCUCCAAUGUUCAAGCACGUGCUGGAUGCUGUCUCAUUCAUAAGUGAGGAGAAGAUCACCAGCAAAGUGAACUACCUGAAGAAGACUUUCAGGUGGUCAGAUGCUGAGGUGGGCAUGGUAAGAGGAUGGGUCUCCAUUGAUGCUGAGGCAUUCUAUGGACGCACUGCAGAGCAAAUCAGAGUUCCUUAUCUCCGAGGUCGGGUUGGAACCCGAGUACAUCGCUCAUCGACCAGCAAUGCUCAAUUAUAG
Molecule: ribosomal RNA, 1044 nt
Filed under: Triticum aestivum (bread wheat)
Lineage: Eukaryota; Viridiplantae; Streptophyta; Magnoliopsida; Poales; Poaceae
Description: partial small subunit ribosomal RNA
Source: RNAcentral